ACUGGAAUAUCUGAUAUGAAAACCGUGUGAUAUUUCUUGGCGAUUGCAAUAUAAUCUGCUGCACCAACUGGACGGCCACAUAGAUAUUCAAAGUUGAACCUGGCUAUCCCGUUACAGUUUUCCGGAACGUCUAGUGCUCUCCCAAACAUCACAGAAAUAGUAUCUGAAGUAACUUUUCCUCCAGACUGUUUGGUAACCUUAUGCCAUAUGUCCUCAAAUUUUUUACGAGCAACAGAAUCAGA
Molecule: unclassified non-coding RNA, 242 nt
Filed under: Hevea brasiliensis (rubber tree)
Lineage: Eukaryota; Viridiplantae; Streptophyta; Magnoliopsida; Malpighiales; Euphorbiaceae
Source: RNAcentral